RNAcentral lists this long non-coding RNA (539 nucleotides) under Equus asinus (donkey). RNAcentral describes it as "lncRNA (ENSEASG00005029588.1)". The record is from RNAcentral. Lineage: Eukaryota; Metazoa; Chordata; Mammalia; Perissodactyla; Equidae.
CCCGAGGCAGCGAGGCAGGCCAUCUCAACCUGACCGUGAGGGCAGACAGGAAGGGGCAGGGCUGGCUGGUCUCUCUUCACCCGGAAACUGGCCGUCUGGGACAGCAGGGCCAAGCUGCCCACCGGUGGAGCCACAAACACACGUCUGAGUUCACUGACUUCAGGGGUCCUUGUGAUGUCCUGAGCCGUGACCUCAGGGGGUCGAAGGGAGCCCACUUCUUGGAAGCCAUCUCUUCCAGCGACCCUGCAGACUGGCUUGUAACACACCCUGGGUGCCUGACACAGAGCUCAUGGCCAAGAUGCCCGCCCAGAUCUGUGCAGCGUCCCUGCCCCCAGGAGCAGCUGAGGACACAGGCUGUCACAAUUGGCCAGACCGAGUGUUGCAGUGGAGAUGGCACAGCCUGGAGUAAAGAAGGGGGCACCCCUCCAGGCAGGGGAGCCAGAAACCAACUCAAGAGAGUUUGUACUGGGUUGAAUGUUGUCCCCCCCGAAUUCAUACUCCCCUGGAACCUCAGAAUGUGACCAUAAUUGGAAAUAAGG